RNAcentral lists this long non-coding RNA (900 nucleotides) under Homo sapiens (human). Its description in RNAcentral is "novel transcript". The record is from RNAcentral. Lineage: Eukaryota; Metazoa; Chordata; Mammalia; Primates; Hominidae.
ACACCUGCUGGUCUCACCGCUAGGGCCUGGGCAUCACAGGCAGGGGGAAUGGGGAGGGGACGGUAGCGUCAGCCUACACCCACACGCAGUUUCCUGAUAAAAGGUCCUUUGGAAACUUUGAUUCUCUUCUCACCAAGUUGAACGGAGAUGUGUUCCCAUAGUAAGAGUGAGGCCCCUGCAUUUGCUGCCCUCGGUUUUCCCAACUAACACCAGGGCCUCCCCCCUGUACCCCAUUCAUAUGCCUCAGAAGCUGACAAUGACUGUUGGGCUUUUCCAAUGAAUACCAGAACACCAUUUCCUGCAGCCUGAAAAGAAGACAGUAUAAUUGUUUGGCAGCAAGAGACAGGAUCUCGCUGCGUUGCUCAGACUGGUCUCGAACUCCUGGGCUUAAGGGAUUCUCCUGCCUCAAUCACAGCCUCCCAAGUAGCUGAGAUUAAAAGUGCUCACCACCGUGCCAGCGAGUUCAGUUUUUGAGUGUCCUCCGACACUGACUCUGUGCUUGGCCCUGUGACUUGCUUUGGCCAAUGGUACAGCAGCAAACUUGAUGCAAACACAACUUGAAAAAGAAGAGGACAGCCAAGUCAUCCCAGCCAAGGCCACCCUGGACCAGCCAGCCUCUUGCCAAGCUGCCAGUGACCACAGAGUCCAAUUAACAACAGCCAGUCCUGGCCCAGGGUGGAGCCAAGACUCUGAGGAGAGGGCUGAACUGUGAACCUAGAAGUACCAUCUCCCCCUGCACACACCUUUGGUCAAGUUGACCCCAAGAAGAAGGACAAGUCCUCUGCACGGCGAUGAGGCCAUACACACAGUCUGUGGCCCGGCUUUGGGAGACUGAUGGGACAAAGGAUGUUUUGCACGAUCCUUGGUCUCUGAGCAAAUAUAUACAUGGGUUAACACAAA